RNAcentral lists this ribosomal RNA (492 nucleotides) under uncultured bacterium. RNAcentral describes it as "partial 16S ribosomal RNA". It matches the Rfam family "Bacterial small subunit ribosomal RNA", at positions 29 to 507 of the family's 1533-position model. The record is from RNAcentral.
AGUGAACGCUGGCGGUAGGCCUAACACAUGCAAGUCGAACGGCAGCACAGUAAGAGCUUGCUCUUACGGGUGGCGAGUGGCGGACGGGUGAGGAAUACAUCGGAAUCUACUUUUUCGUGGGGGUUAACGUAGGGAAACUUACGCUAAUACCGCAUACGACCUACGGGUGAAAGCAGGGGAUCUUCGGACCUUGCGCGAUUGAAUGAGCCGAUGUCGGAUUAGUUAGUUGGCGGGGUAAAGGCCCACCAAGGCGACGAUCCGUAGCUGGUCUGAGAGGAUGAUCAGCCACACUGGAGCUGAGACACGGUCCAGACUCCUACGGGAGGCAGCAGUGGGGAAUAUUGGACAAUGGGGGCAAGCCUGAUCCAGCCGUACCGCGUGGGUGAAGAGGGCCUUCGGGUUGUAAAGCCCUUUUGUUGGGAAAGAAAAGCAGCAGGUUAAUACCCCGCUGUUCUGACGGUACCCAAAGAAUAAGCACCGGCUAACUUCGUG